Molecule: non-coding RNA, 79 nt
Organism: Mollisiaceae sp. DMI_Dod_QoI
Lineage: Eukaryota; Fungi; Ascomycota; Leotiomycetes; Helotiales; Mollisiaceae
Source: the annotation of a GenBank genome assembly
GGCCUACUGGCCCAAUGGCAAGGCGCUUGACUUCGACUUUGAGAUCAAGAGAUUGCAGGUUCGACCCCUGCGUGGGUCA